CUGAUUCUGAAGAUCUGCAGAGGAGCCCAAGAGUUUCCAUUUCUAACACGUUCCAGGUAAACUGGCAGUUGUUGGGCCUGGGACUAUAAGAACCAUUGCUUGGAGGACAGAAGGGUCCUGAGGACUGGGAUUCACAACAAAGCUUGCUGGAUGGGGAAGGAAAAGGUCAUGUCGCCAGAGCAACAGGAAGACCAUCCUGCAGAAAGAAAUAGAAGGGUAGCUAUUAUAGUGAUGAAUCCUCGUGACUCCAAAAUCAUGUGAUUAUCAUUAGAAUAGUUUGAUAACAUUAAUUUCUAGUUUUCAAGUUUUUAUCUAGUGUUUUCCAAUAUAUAGGGUGCAGCAAAAUGACCGUACAAGUUUGUUGAAAAGCCAGACACCUGGUCCUCAGCUUUGCAACUUCUAUUCAGGAAAUCUCGGAUGAAGCCCAGGAACAAGUGAAGCAGGAAACUUCAUGAUCAUCCAUUGGUUGAAAAGAUAUAAUGAAAACUAUGGCAGAAACCCGUUGGACUCCUUUGUAUUCAACAAAUCUUUGUUGAGCACCUACAGUAGACCCAGAGCCGUUAGAAUAGAUGGAUUCACUCAAGGAAACAGUAUUGAGCUUGGAUUUCAUGUGAUUUUAAAUCUUACCUGGGAGAGAUCCAGUGCCAUCCCUCUUAUUUCCCAUAUGAAGACUACAGCUCAGACCGAAGACAUGACCUGGUCUAGACCAUGCUUACAUGUAGUUUCAGGGCAGGACCAGACUGUCAGCUUCUAAAGACUCAAUCCAGUCUUCCCACCCCAUGAAGAGCUGCUUUCACCGAAGAUUCACCAUGCCACUGUUCUUCAAAGAGCUUGUGGAAACCUUUCACAAAGCUUGCUUAUCAAACUGCCUUUCCAAAACUGAACCUCGAACCUUAAUCCAAUAAAAUCUUGC
This 913-nucleotide long non-coding RNA is filed under the name Vulpes vulpes (red fox). RNAcentral describes it as "lncRNA (ENSVVUG00000010928.1)". The record is from RNAcentral. Lineage: Eukaryota; Metazoa; Chordata; Mammalia; Carnivora; Canidae.